Molecule: ribosomal RNA, 501 nt
Filed under: uncultured bacterium
Lineage: Bacteria
Description: partial 16S ribosomal RNA
Rfam family: Bacterial small subunit ribosomal RNA
Source: RNAcentral
AUUGAACGCUGGCGGCAGGCUUAACACAUGCAAGUCGAGCGGGAGAAGGUAGCUUGCUACCGGACCUAGCGGCGGACGGGUGAGUAAUGCUUAGGAAUCUGCCUAUUAGUGGGGGACAACAUCUCGAAAGGGAUGCUAAUACCGCAUACGUCCUACGGGAGAAAGCAGGGGAUCUUCGGACCUUGCGCUAAUAGAUGAGCCUAAGUCGGAUUAGCUAGUUGGUGGGGUAAAGGCCUACCAAGGCGACGAUCUGUAGCGGGUCUGAGAGGAUGAUCCGGCACACUUGGACUGAGACAAGGCCCAGGGUCCUACGGGGAGGAGCAGUGGGGAAUAUUGGACAAUGGGGGGAACCCUGAUCCAGCCAUGCCGCGUGUGUGAAGAAGGCCUUAUGGUUGUAAAGCACUUUAAGCGAGGAGGAGGCUACUUUAGUUAAUACCUAGAGAUAGUGGACGUUACUCGCAGAAUAAGCACCGGCUAACUCUGUGCCAGCCGCCGCAGUAA